RNAcentral lists this unclassified non-coding RNA (3138 nucleotides) under Anthonomus grandis grandis. RNAcentral's name for it is "hemicentin-1". Lineage: Eukaryota; Metazoa; Arthropoda; Insecta; Coleoptera; Curculionidae. The record is from RNAcentral.
GGCACGCGAGGGUCUCCCUCACCCACCCCCUCACCGUACGACGACGACGACGAUUUCUAUCGAAACUCGGGAUUAUUUAAAUUUUACGCGUAUAUUUCAAAAUAUAAAUUAAACCGGUCGAUUUGAGAAUUUUUUCGUAAAAAAAAAAGUGGAUUUUUUAUAGAGUGGAUUUUUUUUUUUGGUUUUUUGGUGGAUUUUGGUGUAAGGUUUUAAGAGUAAGAGAGAGAGGAGAUUUUUGGGAAUUAUGAUUUUUAGAAUGUUUGUGGUGGUUGGAGUUUUGGGGGUCUGUUGUCUGGGACAGACUCUGAUGGUGAAUGAGAACGAGGAGGAUGGAGUCCAACAACCCACUGCAAUGGUGUCAGUCGAUGCCGUAUUGGCCCGCAGUGCGACUUUACCGUGUGAUAUUGAGCCGAGCAUCAGGGAGGAUCGAAUUUACAUGGUUUUAUGGUACAGGGAUGGACACAGUAAACCCAUUUAUAGUUUCGAUGUGCGAGGAAGAGCGUUCACGAAGGCCCUUCAAUGGUCGGACCCGAACAUGUUUGGACCCAGGGCGUAUUUCGUCACGGUGUCCAAACCGGCCGCCCUCACCUUGGAUGGGGUCACAUUGGACGACGAGGGGGUCUACAGGGCCAGGGUCGACUUUAAAAUGUCCCCAUCGAGGAACUGUGCCGUCAAUCUAACGGUCAUUGUUCCUCCUCACCAACUGUUACUCUACGACAAGAUGGGCCGCGGAGUGAACGACGUAAUCGGACCCUUAGAGGAGGGAUCGGAUUUGGUGUUGACGUGCGAAGUGAGAGGUGGUAGUCCCAGUCCAACCGUAUCCUGGUUCGUGAACGAUCGUCUCACGGAGGGACACGUCGAGGUGAUUUCCAAGAACAACGUGAUCGUCAACCGCUUGGAAAUCCGUCAAUUGACCAGGGAUAAAUUGAACUCGACUUUCAAGUGUCAAGCGAGCAACACCAAGUUAAUGAUGCCCUCCCAGAAAACCGUCCGAUUGGAAUUGUUACUGAAACCCCUGAGCGUAAUCAUCCCGAUAAAACCGAGACAACUGAUAGCGAACGAGGAGGUGUCGAUUAACUGCGAGGUGACCGGAUCACGUCCUAAAGCGGUUGUGUCUUGGACCAGAGACACGCGACCCUUCAAACGUGGGAAGUUUCGGGAAGAAGAGAUAUCGAACGGGUCCGCGGUGGUGGUGAACACGGUGUCGUUUGUCCCGGUCCCGGAGGAUGACGGGACGCUUUUAAAAUGCAUCGGCGAGAAUCCCAAGUUGCCGGGGAUGAGCCAGGAGGACUCGUUCAAGUUGAACGUCGUAUAUCCGCCCCAAGUGGUCCUCCAUUUGGGGAGCACCCUUAACGCGGCCGACAUCAAGGAAGGCGACGACGUUUAUUUCGAGUGCAACAUUAAGGCCAACCCGAAACAGCACAAGAUCACCUGGUAUCAUAAUGGUCUGAUGGUCAACCAGAACAUGUCUUCGGGCAUAAUAAUCAGCACCCACAGUUUAGUACUGCAGAGCGUCGCCAGGGGGCAGAGCGGCAAUUACACCUGCUUGGCGGCCAAUCCGAGGGGCGAGACCAUGAGCCCCGCAGUGACCUUAAAAGUCCGAUAUGCUCCCGUAUGUACCAACAGCGAAGCGACAAUAAUCGGAGCCUCCUUGGACGAGGUGCUGAAGGUGCACUGUCAAGUGUCAGCCGAUCCCGCCGACGUGACGUUUCAGUGGCAAUUUAAUAAUAGUGGAGAGAGUUUUGACGCGCAGCCGCCGAGAUUCGCGACAUCUAGCGGGAAUUUGAGCGAGUUAACUUACGCGCCCAAGUCCCAGAAGGAUUAUGGGAGUUUGACAUGUUGGGCGACCAAUUCGAUUGGGAGACAGGUGGAGCCCUGUAUAUUUCAGAUCGUACCAGCCUCAAAACCGUCCCCGUUAACCAAUUGCACCCUCAAAAGCGUCAACAAUCAAACGAUAGAGAUCGUGGAUGUCGAGUGUAAGUCCGGAUACGACGGCGGACUGCCCCAGCAAUUCGUCUUGGAGGCCUACGACGCCCAUAGUAUGAGACUACGAAUAAAUCAAACCGUACGUGACACCGAGUAUCCGACCUUUCACCUGGACCUGGGAGAUCUGCUGCCCUCUCCUCCCUCACUAAAAGUGAUCGUUUAUGCCGUAAAUGCCAAGGGAAAAAGUGAGAAGCUUGUGUUAGACGAUAUCACCCUUAAUGAUGCUGAAAAACGUACUGAUGGCAGCACGAACAUGAGUUUGGUACCGCUGGCGGGUCUCCUCACCGGAUCCCUCCUCACCCUGGGCAUAGCCGUCUUAGUCAUAGUGGUGGUGGCGGUAAGGAGGAAACGUCACUGUAACGGACUAAACCACUGUCCCCACCACAUCGCUUUGGACGCCUCCAAGCCCCAAACCAAGUCCAGACAAGGCAGCAUGCUGGAAAUCAAUACAGGUGACAACCGGUACGUGGUGGCGUAUACGUUGAAACCGGCGGCGGACUGUUCGCCGCCUCCUCUGUUUCCCGCCUCCCAAGAUAACAACCGUCAGAUGACGUCACCGUCCGACUCGCAGGUGAGGAGGCAACCGGACAUUUUGAACGCGCCCAGAGGUGAGUGUAGAUGCGAAUGUCACCAUCGUAGUAGCGGACACUGUCACGCCCACGACCGACACUUCACCACAUUUAAACACUUCGACGACGUUUGAUGGGACCCUUUAAAAGGGUUUUUCACUAGUUUUUUUUCUUUUUUUUUUUUAUAUAAAUUUUAAUGAUCGGGGGUGAUUCAUUUCUCCUUCAUCCUCCUCUCCCUAGAUUAAAAUGGAAAACUACUUAAAAUGUUCUCCUCAAAAAGGAACCGUAAUUUUUUUUAAUUGUUAAAAUGGUGAAGAUGAUGCAGAACGUAAAAAAUAAUUUGUAAAAUACCAUCAAAUGCCUGGAAUAAGAAAAAAAAUUACUCGGUGCCUUAGGACCAACCUAAUAAUAUUCAAUUACCUGGAAAAUAUUAACAAAUUAUUUGAAAUGCCUGCAAGGUGGCGACAAUAGUGCGGGCACACCCCCAGAACUACCCAGACCCGUAGAGUUCUACUCACCCGGCGGUGCAGAAACCGCCAACUUAAUAACGUUAGACACAUCAGCCAGUUUUUCAAAUUUACAA